UAAUACGUAGGGGGCAAGCGUUGUCCGGAUUUAUUGGGCGUAAAGAGCGUGUAGGCGGCCUGGCAGGUCGACUGUGAAAACUCGAGGCUCAACCUCGAGACGUCGGUCGAAACCGCAAGGCUAGAGUCCGGAAGAGGAGAGUGGAAUUCCCGGUGUAGCGGUGAAAUGCGCAGAUAUCGGGAAGAACACCCGUGGCGAAGGCGGCUCUCUGGGACGGUACUGACGCUGAGACGCGAAAGCGUGGGGAGCGAACAGGAUUAGAUACCCUGGUAGUCCACGCCGUAAACGAUGGGAACUAGGUGUGGCGGGUGUCGACUCCCGCUGUGCCGAAGCUAACGCAUUAAGUUCCCCGCCUGGGGAGUACGGCCGCAAGGCUA
This 377-nucleotide ribosomal RNA is filed under the name uncultured bacterium. Its description in RNAcentral is "bacterial SSU rRNA". It matches the Rfam family "Bacterial small subunit ribosomal RNA", at positions 521 to 896 of the family's 1533-position model. The record is from RNAcentral.